Podarcis muralis (Common wall lizard) is the source of this 1488-nucleotide non-coding RNA. The record is from RefSeq and is a predicted model, not a curated record. Lineage: Eukaryota; Metazoa; Chordata; Lepidosauria; Squamata; Lacertidae.
CCCCCCCGCGCGAUUCAAAAGAAAGAGCCGUUGGCUCGUCCGCCUGUUCGCUCACAGCGGGCCUCUUCCGAUUGGACGCCUUGGCGCAGCCAAUGGAAAGUUCGCUCUCCUCCGGACAUUUCGGGAAAGGGGGAAGAAGCGCGCAGGCGCCCUGCCUCGUCGUCCUCCUCCGUCCCGGGAGGAGGAGUCACGGCCAGCCAAUGAGAGGCUGCUCCGCCCAUCCCGGCGCGGAGAACUUUUUUGUCAGCCGCUUGGAAGGGGUAUUCAAAGAAUGCAGCACCAGCUUUCCACCCCCAAGAAAAGCGCUGGUUAAAAUGUGGCAACUUCCUGUUAACAACUUCGUGUGAAUCCAUGAGUGACUGUGGAGGCUAAUUCUGGAUCCACACAUCCUUCCAGUGGGGAAAUAGGUUUCCGGGCGGAAGUUGAUCCUGGUGAGUUUGCCAAGUGUACCUUCCUCUUAACACGUUUCUCUUUUUCAUCCUGUGUUUGAGCAUCUUCAAUGUCCAUGACACCUUUGGUAAAGGCUAUUCUCCAAUUGGAGCCCAGUAACAUGCCAAAAGCUGCCUCUCAAAUGGAGAGUACUCUGUGUUAGGCAGACGCACUCUUUUCCCUGUAGGUCCCUUUUGCUGCAAACUCCAAACAGCCCCUUCCUCAUUUGCAGACACUUGUAACUCAAAAGGCUGUUCUUUGAUGUAAGGUCCAAAAGGCAUAGGUGCAGCUACAACAGAUUUAGCCUCAGAUAACGCUUUUGGUUGCUGCUCCCCCCACCCAAACUGUGUUUUGUUUCUGAUAACCUGAUAGAUUGGUCUCAGGAUCUGGGCUAGACGGGUUAUGUGCUGCUUCCAAAAGCCCACUGGCCCCACUAACUGCCGAGCCUCCUCCUUAGAGGUGGGGGCUUGCAGCGUCCCAAUUACAUUCAACACUCCAUGACACUUCAGAUGCAUUAUCUAGCAAAUUCAAAACCCUCUGAACAUUUCCAUGCAAAAUAGUCAGUGACAGACGUGGGCAGUGGUCUACAGAGAUAGCUGUCUUCAGUAGCCUCACCUCUGGAGCUAUGCCUCUCCCCCCACCCCAAUCUGUUUGCUGGGGAAUUUUCCAAUCACUGCCCCAAAGUGUGGCAAUGAGGGAUACAGUGAUGUGAUGGGAGUGCUGUGGGGGAAGCCCCCCUUCCUCUUCUUUGCUGUUAGCACACUCCUUUUUCCAAAGCUUAAACACCUCUUCAGUGGAAAUGCCUUCUGUCUCUGCUUUUGGCACCCCACCCCUAGCAAUUCAUUCAUCUGCCUCCUGUUCACCUUCUGCUCUAAAUUCCAAGAGCUUGCUUGCUCUCUUUUCCCCCAGCACAUGCUGGGGGGGUCUGGCAGCCCCAUCUUCCUGCACAUCACCUAGCUGCCUUUUUAAAACAACACUUUCCCCCAACAGAUCUUCCCUGAACAGGCUCACUGGGCUCCACUUCUGAGUUCCACUCCCCCCCCCCCGCCAGGAUCUCAC